This 253-nucleotide ribosomal RNA is filed under the name uncultured bacterium. RNAcentral's name for it is "partial 16S ribosomal RNA". It matches the Rfam family "Bacterial small subunit ribosomal RNA", at positions 524 to 776 of the family's 1533-position model. The record is from RNAcentral.
UACGUAGGCAGCGAGCGUUGUUCGGAGUUACUGGGCGUAAAGAGUGCGUAGGCGGUUUUCUAAGUUUGGGGUGAAAUCUCCCGGCUCAACUGGGAGGGUGCGCUGAAAACUGGGGUGCUUGAGGGUGGGAGAGGUAAGCGGAAUUCCUGGUGUAGCGGUGAAAUGCGCAGAUAUCAGGAGGAACGCCGGUGGCGAAGGCGGGUCUCUGGGCCGAUACUGACGCUGAGGCACGAAAGCGUGGGGAGCAAACAGG